RNAcentral lists this long non-coding RNA (1824 nucleotides) under Zea mays. RNAcentral describes it as "long non-coding RNA (ZMAY_LNC003045)". The record is from RNAcentral. Lineage: Eukaryota; Viridiplantae; Streptophyta; Magnoliopsida; Poales; Poaceae.
CUUUUUAUCAUUGUAUUACCUACAUUCUCAUUGCCUGUUCUUGCUGUAGAAAUUUGUCGAUGACGAUACUUCUAGUAAAAGGCAAUGAAGUCUGACAGUGAGGAAAACAUAGAUGAAGAUUCAGAUGAAGCUGCUAACAAACAGGAAGGCUAUGGAUCUGGGAAAGAAAAGGCAGGGAAGAAGUUAUCGGAGGUAAAAGAAUCUUCAGGUAAAAAGAAGUCAAACACAGGGAGUGGCCACAAAUCAGGUUCUCCAAAUAAAAUUAUAAAAAAUCUGGAAAAAAGUAUCAACCAAGAUUCACGAGGAAAAAGAAAGCCCCAAUGAUAGUACCAAGGUAAUUAUAAAAUUAUAAAAAGUAUCUACAAAUAUAAAACGCUAUAUGCCUUAAAUAAAAAUAAUUAACAUCAGAACUAUUUACUCGUAUUUGCAUCACAUUGCAUUCGUUUGAAUCACUGCGAUGGGGCAAAAAAUGCAAUACCAUAUACAGGAAACCCAAAUAUAGCAAACAAGCAUUUUUGGAUUGGAUUGCAAUCAAAAGCUCUAAUUUUACUCAUUUACAUUCAAAAUUGGGCGCAACAAGGCAGUUGGUGUGAAUUGAUAACCCAUCAGUUGGAAAAAGGCCAACAAGCAUCUAAUGAACACACGAAUGGGAAUGGCAAUCUACAUAAUAUAUUGGACCCACCUAGGAAAAUGAAAAGGAAGGAGGAGCUCACCAUGGAAGACGUACAGACAGAUAUUGCCACGGUUCUUUUUCUUGUAGAUGAUCUGCGAUAGACGGUGCAAAAUCAUGUUGAAAAUCAAAAUGAUUAAUUUAGGCAGUUUUUGUUUGUAGGAAAAGCAGAGAGCCAAGGCAAAAGAGAAGCUUGAUAAGUGUGUAAAAGACAAUCUGUUGGAUCCUUGGUAUUCCAACUCCGAAAGCAAACAUUAGAAAGGUUUUAUUUUCCUGCCUUGUUUUUGAAAUUAUAAUUUGAUUAAUUCAAUACAUGGCAUUCUAAUAUAGUUUGGUUAACUCAUAUAGGAAGAUAUUGUGUCAAAGCUGUUGGACUUCAUUGCUGAACCUCACUCUGCAGCUGAAUCUUGGGGCUCUUAUGACCAGGUUACAACACAUUCGUACAUUGUGAUUCUAUUUUCUUAUCAACGAGAUGUUGUUGUUGAUGUUUUAUGGUUGAAUCAGAAUUAGCUUACAAGAUUAUUCUCUCUACAUGAUUUAUCCUUUUCCACUGGCUAGGGAUCAAAUUCUAAAAAACGCAAGAGAGGAGGUGAAAGUGCAAGUAAGACGCCUGAUGACACACCUAGUAGGUCGAGGAAGGUACAGUGCUAAAAUUGCCUUGCAUGGUGUGUUGAAUAUGAGUAUAUAACUGAAAGUUCUGAACAUGACUUAAAGCUAUGGUGUAGCCUUCCUUGGUGGCUAUUUGACCCUAAGCUCAAAUGAAGCUUUUCUUGCUUAUAUCUAUUGUGUAUUUCCAAUGAUUAUUUUAACACGGUCAUGGUCAGUUGGGCCAUCCUUCUUUUUAUCAUUGUAUUACCUACAUUCUCAUUGCCUGUUCUUGCUGCAAAAAUUUGUCGAUGACAAUACUUCUAGUAAAAGGCAGAAUAAAGCGCUCCAGUAUGAUAUUGAUGAGGAUGAAUCCAUGAAGUCUGACAGUGAGGAAAACAUAGAUAAAGAUUCAGAUGAAGCUGCUAACAAACAGGAAGGCUAUGGAUCUGGGAAAGAAAAGGCAGGGAAGAAGUUAUCGGAGGUAAAAGAAUCUUCAGGUAAAAAGAAGUCAAACACAGGGAGUGGCCACAAAUCAGGUCCUCCAAAUAAAAUUAUAAAAAAUCUGG